Molecule: long non-coding RNA, 2780 nt
Organism: Spinacia oleracea (spinach)
Lineage: Eukaryota; Viridiplantae; Streptophyta; Magnoliopsida; Caryophyllales; Amaranthaceae
Exons: 5
Source: RefSeq, a predicted model, not a curated record
UCUCACUCCCAAUUUUUAUUCCCAAAGCGCACAUUCUUAUCUCACUCCCAAUUCACAAGCAUUUACAAUUUCAAAACCAUUUUAUUUCAUUGGUCAAGAGAUCAAAUCAAUAAAUCAUUUCAUUUAAACAAAUCAAACCAUCAAAUUCAUUUGCAAAGCGCAAAUUCAAUUAGCAAAGCACACUUUAACUUUUAAUGCACAAUUUAAAAUCCAAACAUAUAUACAUAUACAUAUUACUUGACACACAAAAUACAUUUUCAAACACAAAAUACAUUUGCAUCAGCCAUGGAGCUCUACGCGGACAGGGAGGAGAGAAGCGACAGAGAAGAGCAAGACAGCAACAAAACCAUUAACGAGGACAUCGUCCAUCAUCCAUUUUCACCGGCGGCGAGCCGACUGAGGCAACGACACAGUUCCUCGCCAAAAAUGAGUAAGAAAAUCCAACAGGGUGAAGUUAGGGUUAAUAAUUUGGGGUUUUCUAAUUGAAUUAGAUUUAAUUACUUAGAAGGGUGGAUUUGAGUAGAUACCCAUUUGGAGAUACAGGGAGCGCAACCAUCGCCGCCAUUAGCGACAACGAGCAAAGAAAAAGGGCGAGAAGGGAGGCAGAGCCAUACCAACACCCGCAAUAACACAUCAACCAUAACAAAAAUAUCAACAACCAGAUUCAGCGGCGCCGAAAGGAAGAAGAUGGUGGCCGGCGAUGCAGAGGAACAAGGAUGAGAGAGAUUUGCAUAAGGAUGAGAGUGAGAAGGGAGGUCGGGGAUGGAGAGCAAGAGAGGGAGUAGGAUGAGACCGAGAGAGUGAGUAAUGGGAAGGGUCUCCGAGGAAGUCUUUGUCACAAAUGACUUGUGUCCAUAUUGGACACAAGUGAGUACCAAUAUAGAAUUUGGAGUACCAAUACAGAAUAGGUUAGUACCAAUACAAAUUAUGUGAAUACCAAUAAUAACACAUAUGACUUAUAUUGGUGGUAUUUCUAAACAAUUUUGCAUUUUGAUACUGACCUAUUAUGUAUUGGUACUCAAGAUGAUUGUAUUUGGAUCACUUGUGUCCACAUGGACACAAGUCACUUGAGGUUUAGAAACCCUCAGGGUCUCCAAAUUUUUUUAGAGUAAAUAACAAAAAAAAUGAAAUGUUAGCUCCCUCUAGUGACAACAUGUGGAAGCAGGAAUUAGGGAACAAUUAGAAUUACUUGAUUUAAUAAAAUAAAAUAUGAUCAUCCUAAUUAAAGAAGAUAAUAUUAAUCAACUCUAAUUUUGAGAAUCUCUAUUAUAUAAAGGAACAGCUGAGGGCAUAAUAGUAAAAUAACUUUUCGUGUCCCUUGUGAAUUGACGAAAUUACCCCCUAAUUAAACCCCCCCACCCUUUCACUCUCACACUCUCACUGAGUCUCGCACAUACCUCUCUUUCUCUCUCCUAGGUCUUCGGCGUCCCUAACCUCCCUCAACCUCCCUCCCGUUUUCUCUCUCCUUCCUCUUCAUCUUCUUCGAUCUUCUUCCUCUAAUCCUCUUCCACCAAACCCCAUCCUCCAUUCCAAACCCUAAAUAUUUCGUGUUUCUUUCACCGCACACGCAGACUCUCUCUCCUCCGCCUCUCGCCUUCGCCACCGCCAUCACCAUCACCAUCACCAUUAACGUCUGAUCUUCUGGAGAUCCGGGUGAGAUAACUCGCCGUUUUUCCGUUCUAUUCUCUUCUCAAAGAUUCGGUAAAUUCGGAUUAAAACUUAUGUUCUUAUUCGUUUGAUCUUUGUGUUAUUGAGGUUUUUUAAUCAUCAAUUGGUGGAGAUGGAGAUGGAGGCGGCAUCGGUCGGCCCUUUUCACGUUGAAUCUCUUCAAAAAUCAAAACCCUCAUCAUCAUCUAACCGAAGGAGGCGGCAUCGGUCGAUUAAUUAGGGUUUCAAAACCCUCACGUUGAUUAUUUUUGGGUGAAGUUUUUACUGAGGCAAUGGCUUCUUCAUCAGGACUGGAAUUCCAAUUGCACUCUUUUGGUUUGUGCAUUUCGGAAUAGGCCAAAGUUCCGGCAAGUUGAAGCAGAUGGUGGAACAAUUGUUUCAAAGGUUUUCACCUUUAUCUUGGUUUUAGAAAUCUGAUUUGCAGCCUUCAGAUCAUCAAAACAAGUAAGAUGUGGGUGUUUCAUCUACGCAACGAUGUGAAACAGAGGAUCAGGUUAUCGAUCGAUUAGGGUUUGAGGGUUUGAUGGAUUUUGUCAAGGUUUUGGAGGGAAAGAUUAAUUUGGUGGAUCAGAGAAUUAAUCAGAUGCGAUUAAAUUGUAAUAAUAAUAACAAUUCUCUUGGUUUUAGUCAUAAGAUUAUGUUGGAUUGUUUUAAGGGUCCUGAUCCUGAUAUGGGUUUUGUUGGUUGGAAGGAGUAAUCAGGUGUGGUUGGAUUCACCAUAUGAUUGUCAUUAUCAAUCUAACGGUAUGAUUAACGAUAUUACGGGUUUAAAUGGUGUUGAGGCUCAAAUUUUUGCGAGAAAGAUGGAUUUGAUUGAUGAAAGGAAUAAUCAGAUGGAUUUGAUUGAUGGUUUUCUCAAGUGGACCUCAUAAUCCUAGCAUUAUUGUAGCUGCAACACUGUCGAAAAUGAACAGAAUGAGAGAUGUCAAAAUGUCGAGUGACAAGUCGAAGCUAAAGAGACAGAAUAGUCGUUGUACUCGCAAUCAAGUCUUAUUUUUAUACUCAAUUUCUAUUUUUACUCACAAUCAAGUCUCAUAAUCGUAGCAUUUUGUUUUCUGUAGUAUUUUUUUGUACUCUCAAUCAAUUUAAGAGGUUUGUGACAAUAUAUCCAU